Molecule: unclassified non-coding RNA, 362 nt
Filed under: uncultured bacterium
Lineage: Bacteria
Description: contains 16S-23S intergenic spacer region
Source: RNAcentral
UCCCUGUUACCAGGGCAGUCUAGCUAGAGAAAUUCAACUAACUAUAAGGGUUGCGCUCGUUAAUGGACUUAACCAAACAUCUCACGACACGAGCUGACGACGGCCAUGCAACACCUGUCACUGCGGCCCGAAGGCACAGUCUCCUUUCGGAGACCUUGGCAGGAUGUCAAACCCUGGUAAGGUUCUUCGCUUAUCGUCGAAUUAAACAACACGCUCCACCGCUUGUGCGGGUCCCCGUCAAUUCCUUUAUGUUUUAGCCUUGCGGCCGUACUCCACAGGCGGGAUGCUUAACGCGUUAGCUUCGCUACUACCAGGGUCGAUACUGAUAACAGCUAGCAUCCAUAGUUUACGGCGUGGACUAC